This 503-nucleotide ribosomal RNA is filed under the name uncultured Sphingobacteriales bacterium. RNAcentral describes it as "bacterial SSU rRNA". It matches the Rfam family "Bacterial small subunit ribosomal RNA", at positions 903 to 1382 of the family's 1533-position model. Lineage: Bacteria; Pseudomonadati; Bacteroidota; Sphingobacteriia; Sphingobacteriales. The record is from RNAcentral.
CGCCUUGCCAGCCCGCUCAGAAACUUAAAGGAAUUGACGGGGGCCCGCACAAGCGGUGGAGCAUGUGGUUUAAUUCGAUGAUACGCGAGGAACCUUACCUGGGCUCAAAUGUAUGUUGGCGUAUUCUGAAAGGGAUACUUCUUCGGACAAUAUACAAGGUGCUGCAUGGUUGUCGUCAGCUCGUGCCGUGAGGUGUCGGGUUAAGUCCCAUAACGAGCGCAACCCCUACCUUUAGUUGCCAUCAGGUAAUGCUGGGGACUCUAAAGGAACUGCCUACGCAAGUAGUGAGGAAGGCGGGGAUGACGUCAAAUCAGCACGGCCCUUACGUCCAGGGCUACACACGUGCUACAAUGGCCGAUACAGAGGGCAGCUACCUGGUGACAGGAUGCAAAUCUCCAAAGUCGGUCUCAGUUCGGAUCGGAGUCUGCAACCCGACUCCGUGAAGUUGGAUUCGCUAGUAAUCGCGCAUCAGCCAUGGCGCGGUGAAUACGUUCCCGGGCCUU